GGGGAAAAAAAAUUCCAGGGCCCUACGGGGCGCAGCAGGCGCGAAACCAUCCGCAAUGUGAGAAAUCGCGACGGGGGGAUCCCAAGUGCCAUUCUUAACGGGAUGGCUUUUCAUUAGUGUAAAGAGCUUUUGGAAUAAGAGCUGGGCAAGACCGGUGCCAGCCGCCGCGGUAACACCGGCAGCUCUAGUGGUAGCAGUUAUUAUUGGGCCUAAAGCGUCCGUAGCCGGUUUAAUAAGUCUCUGGUGAAAUCCUGUAGCUUAACUAUGGGAAUUGCUGGAGAUACUAUUAGACUUGAGAUCGGGAGAGGUUAGAGGUACUCCCAGGGUAGAGGUGAAAUUCUGUAAUCCUGGGAGGACCGCCUGUUGCGAAGGCGUCUAACUGGAACGAUUCUGACGGUGAGGGACGAAAGUUAGGGGCGCGAACCGGAUUAGAUACCCGGGUAGUCCUAACUGUAAACGAUGCGGACUUGGUGUUGGGAUGGCUUUGAGCUGUCUCAGUGCCGAAGGGAAGCUGUUAAGUCCGCCGCCUGGGAAGUACGGUCGCAAGACUGAAACUUAAAGGAAUUGGCGGGGGAGACACCACAACGCGUGGAGCCUGUCGGUUUAAUUGGAUUCAACGCCGGGAAU
This 627-nucleotide ribosomal RNA is filed under the name Methanobrevibacter oralis. Its description in RNAcentral is "bacterial SSU rRNA". It matches the Rfam family "Archaeal small subunit ribosomal RNA", at positions 299 to 925 of the family's 1478-position model. Lineage: Archaea; Methanobacteriati; Methanobacteriota; Methanobacteria; Methanobacteriales; Methanobacteriaceae. The record is from RNAcentral.